Molecule: long non-coding RNA, 1337 nt
Filed under: Calidris pygmaea (Spoon-billed sandpiper)
Lineage: Eukaryota; Metazoa; Chordata; Aves; Charadriiformes; Scolopacidae
Description: lncRNA (ENSCPGG00000000810.1)
Source: RNAcentral
GUGGAACCCAAGGCGGGGGAAAGGGAGGGAAUCAAGGUGGUUUGGGGAGGAACAAGCGAGGGAAAAGAGAGGGGAAAAGGGACUAAAAGGAGCUGGUUGUGUAUAAACAGGUAGAAAAUUACCUUCGAAUUAGUUCAAGAUGAUUUGCUCCUUACAGGAGUUUAAAGAAAAAGCUGAAGCAGCGCUAGGACUUGAUGUUAUUCUGACAGCUUCUGAAGGAUUCGGAAUGUACCAGAAGGUUGGGAUAGUGAUUCAUUUAAGGAAGGACAAAGGAAAGAGGGGCCAAAAUCCUUUUAUAAUGCAACUGCCAACACCAAUCAAAACCAAUCAACAGUGAAGGUUGGACCGUGGGGAGAGGGAGACCUACCACCAGGAUGAAAUAUCUCACUAAUGGUUGCUUUGGAAGAAAGCCUCCAAGAGCCAGGCUGGAAGAAAAGCCAGACAAUCACAGAGAAAGGUUGCCUUUUCAAAUGAACUAACACAAACCUGCUGUUCCCCCCCCAGCUUUUCAGGUGUAUCUCUCACAUGGGGCAAGAAAUGCAACUGGUGCCGUCUCUUCCGUAGGGAGACAGGGAGCGAGCUGAGCGCCAGUGACUCAACACACACGUUGAGUCAGCAAACAGAAUUUUGGAUUAGCUAAAAAAGAGGAGGGAAGCAAGCAAGCCAGAAAGAUGAGAGCUGGAAUUGUCUUUCUCCGUAGUACAACACUAAAUGCACACAAAAUGCAACACAAAAACAGCAAUAUAAUUAUUCCCAGCAGAGAAGAUCCAAUGGAUGAAAAAAAGAGCCAAGCUGCCAUUCACCUUCUAAAAAAAGAGAAUAAUGUGACAUGGAAAAAAGAGUAGUACUUAAUUAUUUAUCAGUUGGACUGCAUAUUAAAGAACUUUCUUUUACUUGAGUCAGGUUUCAAACAGUCUAAAGAAACCUCCUGCUUUUUAUUUAAAAUAAGUGUAUUGAAUAUACUGCCCUUCGCAUAAAUUCUUUUUAAAACAGUUUGAAAGUAUUUUCGGCUUCAGAAUGCAACACCUUUGGAAAAGGAAACAACAACACAUACACCUGACUACAGGAAACUGGAAAAAGGGCUGCAGCAACGUAUUGUUGUGAAGGAAGAAAUUAUGUCAUUUUUAUUUUGCGUUAAACCUCAAAAUCUAGCAGAACGAUGAGCCAAGACAGGUUACUUACCUGGGACUUCUCUUCAGAACGUGUUACCUGUUUGUACAGUGGUGCUGAGGUUACCUGUAAGCAAGCACUUCUGUACAUUUGACCAUACGAGUUUCCUCAGUUUUGUGCUUCAAGCCUCCUGCAUUCAACUGCUGCAACAAUAAUGGGAGCAAAGC